GACGAACGCUGGCGGCGUGCCUAAUACAUGCAAGUAGAACGCUGAAGAGAGGAGCUUACUCUUCUUGGAUGAGUUGCGAACGGGUGAGUAACGCGUAGGUAACCUGCCUUGUAGCGGGGGAUAACUAUUGGAGACGAUAGCUAAUACCGCAUAACAAUGGAUGACACAUGUCAUUUAUUUGAAAGGGGCAAUUGCUCCACUACAAGAUGGACCUGCGUUGUAUUAGCUAGUAGGUGAGGUAAUGGCUCACCUAGGCGACGAUACAUAGCCGACCUGAGAGGGUGAUCGGCCACACUGGGACUGAGACACGGCCCAGACUCCUAGGGGAGGCAGCAGUAGGGAAUCUUCGGCAAUGGGGGCAACCCUGACCGAGCAACGCCGCGUGAGUGAAGAAGGUUUUCGGAUCGUAAAGCUCUGUUGUAAGUCAAGAACGGGUGUGAGAGUGGAAAGUUCACACUGUGACGGUAGCUUACCAGAAAGGGACGGCUAACUACGUG
Molecule: ribosomal RNA, 497 nt
Filed under: uncultured bacterium
Lineage: Bacteria
Description: partial 16S ribosomal RNA
Rfam family: Bacterial small subunit ribosomal RNA
Source: RNAcentral